This 336-nucleotide unclassified non-coding RNA is filed under the name soil metagenome. RNAcentral's name for it is "partial contains 5.8S ribosomal RNA, internal transcribed spacer 2, and large subunit ribosomal RNA". The stretch from base 1 to 120 matches the Rfam family "5.8S ribosomal RNA", at positions 35 to 154 of the family's 154-position model. The record is from RNAcentral.
GAUGAAGAACGUAGCGAAAUGCGAUAAGUAAUGUGAAUUGCAGAAUUCAGUGAAUCAUCGAAUCUUUGAACGCACAUUGCGCCCGCCAGUAUUCUGGCGGGCAUGCCUGUUCGAGCGUCAUUUCAACCAUCAAGCCCCAGGCUUGUGUUGGGGACCUGCGGCUGCCGCAGGCCCUGAAAACCAGUGGCGGGCUCGCUGUCACACCGGGCGUAGUAGAUUUUAUCUCGCUCAGGGCGUGCUGCGGGUUCCGGCCGUUAAAAAGCCCUUUUUACCCAAGGUUGACCUCGGAUCAGGUAGGAAGACCCGCUGAACUUAAGCAUAUCAAUAAGCGGAGGA